GAGGAUUAGCACCUCUAAAUCUGAGGCCAUGGUUCUCAGCAGGAAACCGAUGGAUUGCCUACUCCAGGUAGGGAAUGUGUCCUUACCCCAAGUGAAGGAGUUCAAGUACCUCGGGGUCUUGUUCACGAGUGAGGGGAAGAUGGAGUGUGAGUUUGGCCGGAGAAUCGGAGCAGCGGGGGCGGUAUUGCACUUGCUUUACCGCACCGUUGUGACGAAAAGAGAGCUGAGCCGGAAGGCAAAGCUCUCGAUCUACCGGUCAAUCUUCGUUCCUACCCUCACUUAUGGUCAUGAAGGAUGGGUCAUGACCGAAAGAACUAGGUCACGGGUACAAGCGGCCGAAAUGGGUUUCCUCAGGAGAGUGGCUGGCGUCUCCCUUAGGGAUAGGGUGAGAAGCUCAGCCAUUCGCGAGGAGCUCGGAGUAGAGCCGCUGCUCCUUUGCGUCGAAAGGAGGCAGUUGAGGUGGUUUGGGCAUCUGGUGAGGAUGCCCCCUGGGCGCCUCCCUAGGGAGGUGUUUCAGGCACGGCCAGCUGGGAAGAGGCCCCGGGGAAGACCCAGGACUAGGUGGAGAGAUUAUAUCUCUGCACUGGCCUGGGAACGCCUUGGGAUCCCCCAGUCAGAGCUGGUAGAUGUGGCCCGGGAAAGGGAAGUUUGGGGUCCCCUGCUGGAGCUGUUGCCCCCGCGACCCGACCCCGGAUAAGCGGUUGAAGAUGGAUGGAUGGAUGGACCAUUCAUUACUUGGUGAAUAGAUCUAUGAUAAAAAAUUAAAAACUUGCAAAAACACGUAUGUACACAUAGGUACACGUAUGAGAAGUAUGUGACAGUAAUACACAAAGUGAAUUAUUUCAGUAGACGAGGUUUGAGAUGGUUUGUCGUUGUCAGGAUUGGGUAGGAAGGCAGGACUCAAACGCAGACUUUUAACAAAAAAAGACUUUAAUAGUCAAAAACUCCACAAAGUAAAAGGCGGACGCAGGCAGGCAGGCAGGCAGGCAGGCAGGAGGAGGAGGAGGAGGAGGAGCAUCCACGGUAGACAGGGACAUCCGUGACCAAGGACAAUGACGCCACAAGUGACAAACAACACACACUGCUUAAAUACACUAGGGAGGUGCAGGUGAUUGGACACAGGUGGAAACAAUCCGACAAUCACAGGGGAUGACAGGACCAGGCAGGAAGUGAAGUUACCCGGGGACACGAGUGGCAGAAAAUUACAAAAUAAGACAGGAAGUGCACCACACCGUGACAGUCGUUCUGGGAUGGAAGUAAAGCUCACUUUAUUCAACGUGAAGGUUUAAGGUUUUCCUGGUUGAGACAAUGAAGUCCGAUCCAGAAAGUCCAGCUGGGAGUAACGCAAGCUGAAAUAGCACACGAGUAGAAAACAGAUACGCACGUAGCAAAGGAAUCCUGUUUCAGGCGGCACCUACACUACUGUUUGUCUGAACCUGGCUGAAGAGUUCAUCCACUGGAGACCAUGAAGGCCUGUACAAAAUGUCAUAGCAAUCCAUCCAAUGGGAGUUGAGACUUCACUCAAAGCUAAAGACGUCCCCCUGCCGGUUGACAUACAUAAUGAUUCAACCUCAGGGGAUUGUGAAAAGGCCCACUUAUUGCCAAGAUAUUUCACCAAAGUGGUGAAAGAAACCAGCAAACUUUUACAUUCAACGUGAAUGGACCUUUGUCAGGUAUACAGAAAGUGUAUAAUAUCAUUUUUUUUUGCCAAAACAGCUCAUUUUUAUGAUAACUGCAUUUGAGAAAACGAUUCAGCCUUUUUCUUUAUCCUUAAGUGUACACAGCCUCUGUGAUAUACUAUGGAGUGGUACCUUUUCGUUGGUGCUCUGACAGUGCGAGCUUGCAAUGUAGUAGAUUUAUAAAUAAUAAAAUGAAAAAGGGAGAUUUGAGAAGAGAAAGAAGGAUUCCUCAGUUGUCUCCCUCCUGGGGGAGCAACCAUUUGCUCUGACAUUUGCUUUGCCUACUUGAGUGUUUCCCUUAAGCGCCCUGACUGCUGUAAGCCCAGAGAUGGAGCGGAGCAAAGGAGGGUAAAACGGGAUGAUGGAGCAUGUCGGUGUAGAGAGAAGGAGAAAAAGUGCAAAGACAGAUAUUAGUGGAAAAUGGCGGUAUAAGAAAGGAUGAAGGAUGAGGAGAAAAGUGAAUAGAAGAGGGAAGAGCGGUGCACCACUACAGUGGACACAUUAAGCAAUGCAAAAGCUUGAGGACCACUGUGAUGGUGAUGAUCUAUUCUGUUAAAACACCAUUACUGUAUAUGUGUACUAUAACUACUCCGGUAACAUUUGCUAACAGACAAGUCUGUCAAAGUUCUACCUUUGAGUUUGUCGCAGGAGGAAUGAGGGAAUGUAGUCUGUGUCAUUGUUGCCCUCAGUCAUUCUCACUCUGCACUGCGAAUACACACACACACACACACACACACACAGCAUCCAUCCACUUGGCCAAAGGAACUUUGAGGAAGCAUUGCUAGUGGUUCCUGUCAUUGUGAAGCGGUCAACUGCAGCAUAGAGGUAAUGAGUGUGUGUGUGCGAGUGUAAUGUUGUCGGUAUCUUGUGGCCUGGGUCACAGCACAUUGACUCACUGACAUUACUCUAAUUACAACACACACACACACACACAGGGUUCUUGUGAUGUUGGGCUGCUGUGUCAGUGCACAGUAAAAAAACAAAAACGAGGGCAACAGAAGUGGCACAGAGGUUACAAAGUAACAAUGACUUCUUCUGUCUUUUCUGGUGUAUUUCCCAUCUCGGUGUUGCACAAUGUAACGACACUACAAAGUCACGGCAAUACUAAAAGCGGUGACAUACAGACAUUUAAUUACAGUACAGGUAUUU
Long non-coding RNA from Gasterosteus aculeatus aculeatus (three-spined stickleback), 2828 nucleotides. The record is from Ensembl. Lineage: Eukaryota; Metazoa; Chordata; Actinopteri; Perciformes; Gasterosteidae.